CAGCAAGGUGGCACGUCUUUAGCGAGAAAGAGUUGUCUCUUUUAAUUAAUAGACCUGGGGAAUCAAGGAGGGAAUUCAGCUUUAGUACAAUACAGGAUGAUCACAUCUUCUGGACCCACCGUUUACCCCUACCGUUACUGCAACCACCAACCCUUGUGCAAAGGUCAAGUUACAACUCCUCACCUCAGCUCUGCCAGCUUACUGAAGUAAAAAAGACUGAAUCUCCAAACACAGCUGGUCAGUAAGAGCUGAUCGUUCCACCUCUGCCUGAUGACUGCUCUGCUUCCCACUUUCACUGCCUCUCCCCACAAGGAGGCAGCUAACAGUAGCGAAAUCCCCAUGUUGUGCCUGCUUCAUCAAUGAAAUAAAUAUUUGACAACGU
This is a long non-coding RNA of Phyllostomus discolor (pale spear-nosed bat), 382 nucleotides long. RefSeq lists it as uncharacterized. The record is from RefSeq and is a predicted model, not a curated record. The transcript is spliced from 3 exons. Lineage: Eukaryota; Metazoa; Chordata; Mammalia; Chiroptera; Phyllostomidae.